ACAUCCAGCGAACUUGGCAGAGAUGCCUUGGUGCCUUCGGGAACGCUGAGACAGGUGCUGCAUGGCUGUCGUCAGCUCGUGUUGUGAAAUGUUGGGUUAAGUCCCGNAACGAGCGCAACCCUUAUCCUUUGUUGCCAGCGAUUCGGUCGGGAACUCAAAGGAGACUGCCGGUGAUAAACCGGAGGAAGGUGGGGAUGACGUCAAGUCAUCAUGGCCCUUACGAGUAGGGCUACACACGUGCUACAAUGGCGCAUACAAAGAGAAGCGACCUCGCGAGAGCAAGCGGACCUCAUAAAGUGCGUCGUAGUCCGGAUCGGAGUCUGCAACUCGACUCCGUGAAGUCGGAAUCGCUAGUAAUCGUGGAUCAGAAUGCCACGGUGAAUACGUUCCCGGGCCCUGUACACACCGCCCGUCACACCAUGGGAGUGGGUUGCAAAAGAAGUAGGUAGCUUAACCCUCGGGAGGGCGCUUACCACUUUGUGAUUCAUGACUGGGGUGAAGUCGUAACAAGGUAAGCGUAGCGAG
This 525-nucleotide ribosomal RNA is filed under the name uncultured bacterium. RNAcentral's name for it is "bacterial SSU rRNA". It matches the Rfam family "Bacterial small subunit ribosomal RNA", at positions 984 to 1509 of the family's 1533-position model. The record is from RNAcentral.